CUCGACGCUCCGUUCGGGGAGUGCACGGGAGGGCAACAGGCACCUGAAGAAACAAAAACGACUCUCGGCAACGGAUAUCUCGGCUCUCGCAUCGAUGAAGAACGUAGCGAACUGCGAUACUUGGUGUGAAUUGCAGAAUCCCGUGAACCAUCGAGUCUUUGAACG
Molecule: ribosomal RNA, 165 nt
Filed under: Swertia multicaulis
Lineage: Eukaryota; Viridiplantae; Streptophyta; Magnoliopsida; Gentianales; Gentianaceae
Description: 5.8S ribosomal RNA
Rfam family: 5.8S ribosomal RNA (bases 60-165)
About the family: 5.8S ribosomal RNA (5.8S rRNA) is a component of the large subunit of the eukaryotic ribosome.
Source: RNAcentral